AUCCAGCUGACGAGUCGCAAACAGGACGAAACGCGCGUCGUGGGU
Molecule: non-coding RNA, 45 nt
Filed under: Schistosoma curassoni
Lineage: Eukaryota; Metazoa; Platyhelminthes; Trematoda; Strigeidida; Schistosomatidae
Source: RNAcentral